ACUGUUUCAAAGACCCAACAUGCAUUUUUUGUGCAUUGGGCUCUUUCAUUAACUGAUAUAAAUAUCAGCAAGUCCGCCAUAUUUUUUAAUAGAAAAAUAAGGAGAUGGCUCCAUGUGCUCUGAGUCAUUAUUUGAAUUCUGAUCCAGGAACACUACCAAAGUGUUUCAAAGGGGGUUAUCUUGACGUAGGUUUGCCUCUGGCCUAGAUUAACCUAAGUUAGAUGAAGUCUCUAUCGCUCUGCACGUAGAAUAUUAUUCGCGCCAGACUUAAACCUAACGAAAAGAAAAUAAAAAUCACAAAGGUUCGGACAAUGAGGGAG
This 320-nucleotide long non-coding RNA is filed under the name Panax ginseng (ginseng). RNAcentral describes it as "long non-coding RNA (PGIN_LNC013817)". Lineage: Eukaryota; Viridiplantae; Streptophyta; Magnoliopsida; Apiales; Araliaceae. The record is from RNAcentral.